GGUACUGAUUUUCUAAAUCCUUAACCUUUCUCCAACUCCUUGGUAUCUGCACAAAUGUCACCCACCUUCUUGUCCUAUACUUGUUUGAUCACCUCCUUAAAUCCAUCUUGCAUAGUCUACAAGUUUAAAAACUUAAAGUAUCUAGACAGUUUAGCUGUAGAAAUUUUGAGCCAGUGAGGAGCAUGAUCUGAAUUGACUUUAGGCAAGUGCACAACUAAUGAUUUACAGUACUUUGUGGCCAAUUGAUUAUUAUCCAGGGCCCUAUCACUUCUCAUCAAUUCUCUUCCAAAUUCUUCUAUCAUGUGCCCCAUCAUUACAUCAAGUGUAUUUUGGGUCAGAGAACUGAAGUUUCACAAGAUCACACUGAAGAAUACAGUUGAUAAAAGAAUCUAGAGGCAGUUCCACUUGCAGGAAUAGGAUCAUCUUGUGUUGGUGAUUUAUUGAAUGACCGAUGGGUACAAAGUCAGGCGACCACGGAAGUAGCUUCAUUGGGCAACAAACUAUAUUGCAAAACCUCCUGAAAUAUAUGUUGUUGUAAUUUGUGAGAGUACUUGUUGAUUUUUUGAUUGGUAAAGAUCAAGUGUUUCAUCAAUGGAUACAAAAAGUGAAAAAUACAGUCCAUCCUUUUCAUGUUUUUGAAAAAGAUAAGCUUCGAAAUCUGUACUAAUCACUUAUGUUCCUUUGCUUACUAUGCGAAAAGAUUUAAUCAACGAUUAUAUUGAACCAGGUUCAACAUCAUGCAUAUCAAAUGAGUCACGUGCUCCAACCUUUUAAAUGGGUUUCAUUGACGGGAAUGCAUACAAUAAGCAAAUAUGAGACUGAAGUUGAGGGAGGAAGUGAUGAGUUAAUAUGAAGGUAGGAACAAAGAAGCUCGCUCGAGUGAAAUGGACCCUGCUCAACUUUUGAUGUCCAGGUGCUUAGUGAUGCUAGAGUUGUAUGCAAACCUACCGGUGACACACCAUUUUAUCUAGCAUUUGUGUUCAAAUGUUGGAACAAGCUAAAUCGUGCGAACUACUAUAUGGCACCGCCGGUGUUUGACUUAUAUUGUAACACAAACAAUCCUAAGCAUAGACAAAGGUUACCUAUUGCAUCUUAACUCCUUUAUUCGACUUACGAGGAGAAAAAAGACAUAAACUUCUUUGGAACUUGACAUGCCACACUUGUUCUUUGAUGUAAUUUGCUGCAGUACAAUUGACUCUCUAUAUAGCUUCCACGAUAACCUUAAUUUUUUUUGUUUCA
Nicotiana tabacum (common tobacco) is the source of this 1239-nucleotide long non-coding RNA. RefSeq lists it as uncharacterized. NCBI's taxonomy places the organism in Eukaryota, Viridiplantae, Streptophyta, Magnoliopsida, Solanales, Solanaceae. The record is from RefSeq and is a predicted model, not a curated record.